UCGGGAAUAUUGCGCAAUGGAGGAAACUCUGACGCAGUGACGCCGCGUAUAGGAAGAAGGUUUUCGGAUUGUAAACUAUUGUCGUUAGGGAAGAAAAAAGACAGUACCUAAGGAGGAAGCUCCGGCUAACUACGUGCCAGCAGCCGCGGUAAUACGUAGGGAGCAAGCGUUAUCCGGAUUUAUUGGGUGUAAAGGGUGCGUAGACAGGCGAUCAAGUUAGUUGUGAAAUCCCUCGGCUCAACUGAGGAACUGCAACUAAACUGGUUGUCUUGAGUGCAGGAGAGGUAAGUGGAAUUCCUAGUGUAGCGGUGAAAUGCGUAGAUAUUAGGAGGAACACCAGUGGCGAAGGCGACUUACUGGACUGUAACUGACGUUGAGGCACGAAAGUGUGGGGAGCAAACAGGAUUAGAUACCC
This 415-nucleotide ribosomal RNA is filed under the name uncultured bacterium. RNAcentral's name for it is "bacterial SSU rRNA". It matches the Rfam family "Bacterial small subunit ribosomal RNA", at positions 355 to 787 of the family's 1533-position model. The record is from RNAcentral.